Molecule: ribosomal RNA, 192 nt
Filed under: uncultured bacterium
Lineage: Bacteria
Description: partial 16S ribosomal RNA
Rfam family: Bacterial small subunit ribosomal RNA
Source: RNAcentral
CUCCUACGGGAGGCAGCAGUCGGGAAUUUUGGGCAAUGGGCGAAAGCCUGACCCAGCAACGCCGCGUGAAGGAUGAAAUCCCUCGGGAUGUAAACUUCGCAAGAACGGGAAGAAUAAGUAGGGGACAAUACCCCCUAUGAUGACGGUACCGUUUGUAAGCUCCGGCUAACUCCGUGCCAGCAGCCGCGGUAA